Molecule: ribosomal RNA, 497 nt
Filed under: uncultured bacterium
Lineage: Bacteria
Description: partial 16S ribosomal RNA
Rfam family: Bacterial small subunit ribosomal RNA
Source: RNAcentral
GAUGAACGCUGGCGGCGUGCCUAAUACAUGCAAGUCGAGCGAACAGACGAGGAGCUUGCUCCUCUGACGUUAGCGGCGGACGGGUGAGUAACACGUGGAUAACCUACCUAUAAGACUGGGAUAACUUCGGGAAACCGAAGCUAAUACCGGAUAAUAUAUUGAACCGCAUGGUUCAAUAGUGAAAGACGGUUUUGCUGUCACUUAUAGAUGGAUCCGCGCCGCAUUAGCUAGUUGGUAAGGUAACGGCUUACCAAGGCAACGAUGCGUAGCCGACCUGAGAGGGUGAUCGGCCACACUGGAACUGAGACACGGUCCAGACUCCUACGGGAGGCAGCAGUAGGGAAUCUUCCGCAAUGGGCGAAAGCCUGACGGAGCAACGCCGCGUGAGUGAUGAAGGUCUUCGGAUCGUAAAACUCCGUUAUUAGGGAAGAACAAAUGUGUAAGUAACUAUGCACGUCUUGACGGUACCUAAUCAGAAAGCCACGGCUAACUACGUG